GAUGAACGCUGACAGAAUGCUUAACACAUGCAAGUCGAUUCGAUUUACCUUCGGGUAUUGAGGAUGGCGGACGGGUGAGUAACGCGUAAGGAACUUGCCUCUUGGUCUGGGACAACUGUUGGAAACGACAGCUAAUACCGGAUAUUAUGAGAUUCUCGCAUGGGAAACUUAUGAAAGCUAUAUGCGCCAAGAGAGAGCCUUGCGUUCCAUUAGCUAGUUGGUGGGGUAACGGCCCACCAAGGCGACGAUGGAUAGCCGGCCUGAGAGGGUGAACGGCCACAAGGGGACUGAGACACGGCCCUUACUCCUACGGGAGGCAGCAGUGGGGAAUAUUGGACAAUGGGCCACAAGCCUGAUCCAGCAAUUCUGUGUGCACGAUGAAGGUCUUCGGAUUGUAAAGUGCUUUCAGUUGGGAAGAAGAAAGUGACGGUACCAACAGAAGAAGCGACGGCUAAAUACGUGCCAGCAGCCGCGGUAAUACGUAUGUCGCAAGCGUUAUCCGGAUUUAUUGGGCGUAAAGCGCGUCUAGGCGGAAAAAUAAGUCUGAUGUUAAAAUGCGGGGCUCAACUCCGUAUUGCGUUGGAAACUGUUUUUCUAGAGUACUGGAGAGGUGGGCGGAACUACAAGUGUAGAGGUGAAAUUCGUAGAUAUUUGUAGGAAUGCCGAUGGAGAAGUCAGCUCACUGGACAGANACUGACGCUAAAGCGCGAAAGCGUGGGGAGCAAACAGGAUUAGAUACCCUGGUAGUCCACGNC
RNAcentral lists this ribosomal RNA (755 nucleotides) under uncultured prokaryote. RNAcentral's name for it is "bacterial SSU rRNA". It matches the Rfam family "Bacterial small subunit ribosomal RNA", at positions 28 to 801 of the family's 1533-position model. The record is from RNAcentral.